Molecule: long non-coding RNA, 8574 nt
Organism: Ictalurus punctatus (channel catfish)
Lineage: Eukaryota; Metazoa; Chordata; Actinopteri; Siluriformes; Ictaluridae
Exons: 3
Source: RefSeq, a predicted model, not a curated record
UUUCAUCUUAACCUGCCAGAAUAGGAAGGACUGCAAAGAGCUACACACGCUAGCGUUGGAGUUCAUAUCUGAUGGCUAGAAAUGCUAAAUUGAUUCAAACGUGAGCGAUAUAACUCGGCUAGUGAAUUAAGUUAGCGGUUUAGUUUCAUUAUUUAUUUCUAACUUCAUUAACGACGCUGGAAUAAAGCUGGUGUGAAGUUGGAGGUUCGAUAUUCGCGGAUAUGUGGAAAUUAAGGGACCGUCUCUAAAGUUACACACGACAUUGUUAUACACGUUUCUAAAUUGAAUAGCAUUUGAAGGGAAUGACUUACAAUCACAUAACCAACUGUACAGUGUUCAUCUAGGGGUCAGGUAUAACACACACCUUAGAUUUCUGAUAUUUAACAAAAUAAACUAUUAAAUCAUAUGUAAAUAUUGUCAUGUAUUUUAUCACUGCAUGGGCUCAUACACAAAAUAUACCUUAAUUUAAUUUAAAGCUCAAUAGUAUUUGAAUUGAAUGAUGUACAGUCACACAGCCAACUGUACAGUGUUCCUCUAGGUGUCAGGUGUGAUACACACUUCUUAGAUUUCUGAUAUUUAACCCUACAAUGCAUGAACCAAAAAAACCCUUCACGAAUGCAUAAAGGGGGUCAAAAUGACCCGUACCCGAUUGAAUGGUUUUCUUCAAAAAAUAGACGUCCUAUUAAUGAAAUAAUUAAAAGAAAUGAUGAUCCAUGAAUGUAUUAAUAUUUCAAACGUUUUCUUUUUAUGUACAUGUUUAGAUUGUGGUUGGGAGCCAAAGGAGUUCAAAAUGAUUUACAUAGGUAGCACGUCCAGUCAAGAUUUAGAGCCCUUUUGAACUGCGUCUCUGACAGUGACUGUGUUUACAUGGACAGCAGUAAUGUAACUAUUGAGCUUACUCUGAUUAAGAUAAUAAUGUGAUUAAGGUGUUUACAUGAGUCGCUUUUAGAAUACUCCUGUCAUGUUCCCGUUUUACAUGUUAUAGAUCAUAGAUUGAUUAACAGCACACGUCAUUACGUCACCACGCCGUCUGACGUCCCUCCAGAAUUUCACCUAUCAACAUACAGUUCGUCUUCAUUAUGGUACUGUAUACAGUUUACAGCUUAGGGUGUGUUUUUUUUUAUUUAUUUUUUUAUAAACGAACGUUUCAAGUACGGUUAAUUACUUGUCGUGCUGUACGUGCUAAUAGACGACUGCUUGAAGCCGUGGGUGUGUCCCAAAUCGCGUAGUUACCGUCUAUAUAGUAGCCAUGAUAUAUGUAUUUCACCUACUACAGGACUAUAGUAGGCAAGUAUGCAGUUUGGGACGCAGCUGAACUUGCUUGUUCGCCGUAAAACAUAAAACUGCCGUGUGUGAUCGUGUCCUGUCUCAAAAUGCAGUGAAAACUCUCACACAUGGUACACACUGUAAAUAGCAUUAGCAUAUGUUUACUACUUAAUACUAAUACUUAGUAUGAUGUUACAACAUGUGUGGUUUUUCUGUGAUAAUCUAUACUUUAUACCAUAGUCUAAAUGACAGGCGUUUUUUGUACUAGUAAUAAAUUACCUGAGGCUUUCAGAAGUUCCUCUGCCAUUGUCAAUCGCAGAUGUUCCAUGUGCUCCUCAGAGGAGUUUAAAGUCAAAUGGCAAGGGAUAUUUGGAAACACACCAUCAACUUCUUUUGCCAUCUACAUAAGACAAGAUAAGGUAAUUAGGGAUGCACCGAAUGUUUGGCAACCGAAAUUAUUCGGCUGAAAAUAGCCAAAAAAAGCACUUUCGGUGUUGAAAACUGAAAAGGCCGAAUAAAUUUGACCGAACGAUGACGCAACCAAAUAGCCUAGCAACCAGAGUGAGACGUGCGAAUGUCACGACCUCGAUGAGGGGGCGCGCGCAUGCACGAGCUACGUGCACUUUGGUUGUUUACUGUGCGUUUGUUUUGUUUCGGUCACGUCGCGAGACGUAAGGGAGUAGAGUACGGAAGAGGGUAAAGACGUAUUUAUUUAAGGGAACAUAACAUUAACAACGUAUCUAACUACUAUAUCUACUCUAAUACUCGGCGAGGUGUACAGGGACGCGAGCGGUACAUAUCCCCAAUAUCAUCAGCCCUAUAGAACCCAACAAAACCAGUUUCUGCACUCGUCACUGCACUUUUUAGUUGUAGGCUACAGAGUGUUCCAUUCUUUCAGCAGUCAGUUACAGGACUAACAUCGGCUUUUCAAGGGGCUCAAAGAUGACCACAGCAACAUAUUUUUAUUUUACUUGUUUAUUUAUUUAAAGUUAUAUUGUGCCUUGUUGGUAGCCUGUGCCUGCUGGAAUGAAGAAAAAUGUUCAGUGUUAAAUAAAUAUUUUGAAAUUGUAGUUUUUGUAAUUGAUUUUUUUUCUUUGAAAAGCUACACAAAAUAGUAAAAAGCAUGUUUUGACUAUUUAAUUUAUGCAGUGGUGAAUAAAUUGGCAAAAUUGAAAAAACGUGUUUGGGAUUCAGCUUUCGGCCAAGUUUUUCAUUAUAUUCGGCUUCGGCGAAGAAUUUUCAUUUCGGUGCAUCCCUAAAGGUAAUGUUUUUUUUAUUGUCCAUGGGAGAUUGUUUCACCACAGCAGCCAUACAUACAUACAAACAAACAAAACACAUACAUAUAAAUCCAUUAGUCAUAUUAAUACACUAUUUGCAUAAUCUACAUUGAACAAACAUUGAAGAGCCUGAGCCUCCACAUAAAGUACAGUUUGCUCUGACCCGUCCUCUAUGAAGCCUCAGUUUACCCGCUCCAUUCUGGUUUGUUGUCUAGAUACACUCCAGGGUUCUUGCAAGACUGAACCAAAUCAACAUUCUGCUCCACAAGUUCAUAACUCUGUCAGAGUUUCUUAUAAGAUAAACUCUUUGUUUUUCUUUAGGUCGUAUAAUUUAAUGAGGAACUCCAACCUGCAUGACAGACACUUUAAACGAAUGUUCUGCAUUGUGCUCUCCGUUCUCUUUACAGGCCGUAUAAAUAUAAUGGUGUGAUUAGGAAGGCAGUAUUAUCCAUUUUCCUUUAGUGCUUAAAACGCAAAAUGUUUGGAAAAAAGUGUUAAGCGAAUCAAAAUGAUUGACAGGAUAACAUUAAGCAUUAAAACAUUAUCACUAUUACUACUAAUUUCCUAUAUAUGUAGUAUACGGUAAUUAUUGUCUUUACAUAUCUCACUCACUUUACACGUAACAAUUAUUGUGAAUUGCUUGCUACUUAUAGUAAAAGUUAAUAAGUAAAUUUAUUGUAAGGACUUUACAGCAUUUAAAAAAAAAAAAAAAAAAACCUUGAGAAGACUAGUAUACUUACACAAUGUAAAAGACUCGAAGCCUGACAGUUUAUUCGUAAGAAAAUAAUCGUUAGGGAUCCAGAGAUGUGCAAGAGCUAUGCCAAGCCUCUGGAACACCAACAGGAGGGAUAGAACAUCAUGUUUUCAAAAUAUAUUUCUAAAUUUUUACAUUUUCAAGAUGAUACUGGAGAGCGCUGACAGUUUGGUCCUAAAUCUAAUUUUUUGUUUAAUUUACUAAAGAUCUGGUGAUAGAAAAGGACACAAGGACACAGCAUAUCAUUCACCGUUCAAUACCCCGUGACAAGAAAACACAACAAAAAGAAGUGGGCCUCUUCACACAGUCAUGCUGUUUUUUCUAAUUUGUAACCCAUCUGUGUAAGUACAGUAUAUAACAAGCUAAAAAUAUUACUGAAAUCUAGUGGCUGCAUGCAUGGACUUUGCUUCUUCAUCAUGUCCUGCUGGGUCGACCACGAACACCUGGCUGGAUGCUGCAUUGAGACACUGUGCAAGAUUAAAAAAAAAAGAUGAAACUACAAAACAAAGUUUUGUAGAAAAAUUUUGAGGUUGGUUUGAAAAAGUCUGGCCUGAGAGUUAAAAUUAUGGAUGGAUGAAUUCAUUCAUUCAUACAUUCAACUAUUCCGGACUCUUGUGCGUGGUGUAGACACAGUGAAAAGCAUAUGGCCUUGUAUGGGUUAGUCCAUCCAUCCAUCUUCUAUACCGCUUACUCCUUUUCAGGGUCACGGAAAACCUGGAGCCUAUCACAGGGAGCAUCGGGCACACCCUGGACAGGGUGCCAGUCCAUCGCAGGGUACAUUCACAUACACAUUCACACACCCAUUCAUACACUACGGACACUUUAGACACGCCAAUCAGCCUACCAUGCAUGUCUUUGGACUGGAUGAAGAAACCGGAGUACCCGGAGGAAAGCCCCCGCAGCUACGGGUUAGUUUCUAUUUGAGUUUUGAUGGUUGGUGUUUGAAUAGUCUUGGCUCACCUGAACAUUUAUUCAGUGUGAUUCUUCAAGCCAGCCAAAUGAUGAACAUCUUAUAUAGAAUAGAGUAAUAUAACAGUGUCUCAUGUAUAUUAAAAAAGGACUAUAAAAUGUGUUCACCAAAAAUAUCCAGUGAUUCCCAUUGACAUUCAGGAAACUUAUCAUUAAUAAGUAAGUUAAUAUAUUCCUCUUUGUUCACAGAUUAUUUUUCAAUUGUCAUAAGAGCAAUGCAUUUCCCAAAGGUAUGAAUCAUUUUUCGUAACUCCCCCACCAGCCAUUUAUGUGUCUGGAGCGUUUUCAGCCCUGAAUGAUACAGGAUAUAAGACCUUUUUUUGUCCUUUGACUGUGUAAUGGCAAUAACUUAUCUCACAUGCUUUCUUAGACCACAGAGCUUGGAUCUGCAAUGAGAUAUUUGAAUAUAAUAUAAAAGGCUCUGUCUUGUGUCUUUUUGGUGGGGGCACUGCUUCUGGUGGAUCAAAAUACUUUGAACGAUGCUUUGCUGGUCUUUGAGUUUGUGAUCUCUUGGCCCAUUGCUCUUCUUGUUGGUCAAUGGUCUGUUGCUUUGGAGAUGUUCCUUGAGACAGACUAUCAAGAUUAUGCAUCAUCUGAUGCUGUGUGUACCUUCCUUGCAGAGAGUUAAACAUCUUUGUAAUGAAAUCUGCAGGCCGCAGGAACCUUUUUCUGCGUAACAUGUGAUUCUUCAAUAUUGAGAACCAUUGCUCCGCAUGGCAAUUUGUUUCCCUCCUUUUAAUUCCUUUACUAUUCUCUUUGGAGAAUCUGCUCAGGUCCCCAAGAAAUAUGCCACUCCAAAGGGGGAAAAGUCUGUAAAUAUUACAACUCUAAAAGGCGUUUCUCAUACCCGACACCUAGAUGAACACUUUCCAGUUGGAUUUCUGACUGUCUUUCAAUUCACAUGCUAUUGAGCUUUCAAAAAUGGUAUAGUUUGUGUAUGAACCCAUUCUGCAGUGAAAUUUGUGUCUAAUUUCCAUGUGAUUUAAUAGCUUAUUUUGUUAAAUAUCAAAAAUCUAAAAGGUGUUUCUCAUAUCUGACCCCUAGAUGAACACUGUACAGUUGGUUAUGUGACUGUACGUCAUUCCCUUCAAAUGCUGUUGAAGUUAGAAACGUGUAUAACAAUGUCGUAUGUAACUUUAGAGACGGUCCCUUAAUUUCCACAUAUCUGCCAAUAUCCACCGUCAAGAUAAAGUGCCCUACAUUUUAACAUAAAUAAAUAAAUCAGUAUGUUUACAUGGACAACGAUAAUCCAAUUUUAAACCGAUUAAGACAAUAUCUGAUUAAGAAACUACCAUGUAAACAGCAUGUAAAUAUUUUAAUUACCUUAAAUGUGGCACGGGGGAGAUUUACUCAUCACGUUACUUCUGUUCCGAAAACACGCUUCUGAGAGUAAAUACUAAAGUUGUGUGAUGAAUAAAUCUCCCCCGUGCUGCGCAUAGACCAUCUAAUCGAUUAUUAUUAUGUUGCAGCUAUAAAUGCUUCUCAGGUUGUGAAUAGAGAUCCACUGUAUGGAAAACUGGUACCAAACGAGACAUCAUGAGAUAGGAGACUUUUUUCCUUUUCUUUAAAGCAAUGUGUCUAAAUUCUACUCAUCAAAUGCAUUUUUCAUGUCAUAGCGACCUUGUUCCCGAAAAAGCCGGAGUAUGUCGGAGGUUUUGGAAGAGUUAUUUCAGAUUGACUCUGGAGAGGAAUUGGAGUUUUUUUUGGAGGAAGACAACGUGGAUUGAGCUGAAGAGCAUUUCAGCAUGCACUGGACCCGGUCCUGGAAAUAGGAGAAGAAGAAGAAAAUGCUCCUGAUCCUCCUCACACUUCUUCUGAGGCCUUCUCUCCCAACACCCAUAUGGAGGUUUCCACUGCAAAACUGACAGCUCCAGCUACCCCUACCCAAGAGAGGUCACUCAUGUGUCACUCAUUUGAGCCAUUAGGAGAGCCAGUGCUCCUGCACCUACAACACAGCCUGAACAGGACAGGUUUGAUAAUAUAAAGCGUGAUGUGCCUCCUGUACAACAUCACUUUUCUCCUGCCCACACUCCUAGGGUACAGCUUGAUAGCCACCAGCAGCACACUACUCUAGAGCUGUUCUAGUUAUUUUUUGGUAAAGCCACAGUCUCUGCAACAACACAAACCUGUAUGCAGAGUAAAAGCAGAAGCGUAUGUAGACACCAUGGAGUCCUGUAACUAGCCUGAAGAUUCAUAUAUUGUGGCCUAAUAAAGCCAUCAAGAUUUUGAGAUUUGUGGAGAAAGAAUAACCUACAUAAUUUUGCAUUCCCAACCUCUGUCCUGGCAUUCUACAGAUUUCAGGCAAUAUUCUGGAUCCUGUACAUGAGCAACGUCAAAGGUGAUGAGCAGAAUGACUGGCGAAAAGGCACCACUGGUUAUGAUUGGCUCUUUCAUGUGAAGCACACCAGGAAGCAGCUCUUAUUAACAUGCAGGGUGCACUACCAGCCUCACCAGAACCUGGCCAUCGAUGAAAGCCACAAGGUCUAGAAUUGUGGAUUUUGGGAGUGAUGAAACCAUAAGUUCUUUGUGUCUGAGCCAGUGACUGCUGCAGCUGUCAGUGAUGUGUCACAGGUGGCAGAGAAGAGGCCAUCCAGUAAACACCUCAACCUCUGCCAAGAGAGACAAAGCCUCAGCUGGGAGAAAACACCGUGUACUGCCUACAAAGGAAGAAGCACAGCAAGACCAUUUACAAAUGCAGGUCUUGUGAUGUGUUCCUGUGUACUAUAGUGGACUGUCUUUGUUUCACUUAAUAGGGAUAAUGACAAGGACAGUCAACGUACUAGACUCUGGCUCAUGGAUUUUUUUCCAGGUUUUUUCUGCACUUUCAUAUUGGUUGUAAAUUGUUAUUUUUGCCUCCUAAAAUCCAACCCCAUGUCAUAGAAGGUGGAAACAGCACCUUCUGCAUGCCUAUGCCUAUACGUGACAGUGCUAACAGGGCUCUGGGGCUGAUUUCAGUAAAGAUAUUUUUCCUGUCAUUUGUUGGUGGUUUGUGCCAUUUGGACAUGUUCUUUUGUGAAAAUAUUUUUUAGCGUUGCUUACUAUUUCUAGAAGUUGUCUGCUAUUUCUUUAGGCUUUGGGCCAUUUGGGGAUGUUUUUACCUCUGUUUGGAUAACUUCAAAUUUAAGUUGUUGAAGAUAACUCCUUCAAAUCUGAAUGCUUAUGGACAAGCAUUUGGGGCAGGAAUGGGAUUGAUAUAAGCAUUUAUUUUGAAGAAAUAACCAUUCGUGUGUGUGGGGGGGAUUCUGAAUAUAUUGCCCCUAAGUGGCUAGGUGUAAACAGAAAAACAGCACAUUUCUUAAAGCCUUGAAUGUCUGCUUUCAUAUGAGCCAUUAACCACUGCUGUGGUGUGAGACAUCACAAAUAAAUUCAAUGCUGAACCCCCAAGACAGGUGAAAAUUCCUUUUUUUUGGCCACUGGUAAAAAGAGUUAAGGCUCUUGGUAAAAUGGUUGUGAAUACGCACUUUCCAUACCAACACACUAAAACACAGAUAAUGAAGAGUAACUAAAUCAAAGAAUUCACAAUAUUGUAUUACAGUAAUAUAUUAAUUGUAAUGUUAAUAUUUCAGGAGAUCAGGAUCUUUUUUUUUUUGUUGUUGAUGCAUGUUUACAUUAAUAUCGAAAAUGUUUGGUUUAAUUUUUGCAUUUUCUCAUCAACUAAAAUGCCGUUGACUAAUAUUCUAUGCCCCUUUUGUCAGAGUAAAAUUGACUAAAAUGAAUCAAAAUUAUUUUUGUAAAUAUUGACUAAAUUUAAAGGAUAUUUUCAUCAGAAGACCAAAAAAAAUCUAUGACUAAAAACUGUGAAAAUUAACAAUGGAACUCGUUUAUUUAUUUAUUUAUUUAUUUUUUAUAAUUUUAUGCACUUUAAAAAUAAAUGCACUUCGUUAACAGCCUGGUUUGUUCUUUGCAAUGAACCAUACAACAUGUUGCUGUCAGGUUUGCAUUUAUUCAUUGCAAACCUAAUUGUGGUUUUCAAAGUGGGGGCAGCCAGGGGGCGCCCGGGGAGCCUCAACAAUUUGGUGUGGAAAAUAAAUAAAUAAAUAAAUAUAAAAUUCCUGAUGUAAUUAUUAAUAAUAAUUAAAAAAAAGCGGGGAUAUAUUCAGAAGUCUGUAUUUUAAUGUGUUUUAAAGAUAUCUUGCAAAAGGGGGCCUCGGUCAAAUGUUAAUGCCCUGGAAAACUUUGGGAUUAAUAAUGUCUUUAGAAUUCAAAUAUAAUUAGAACUUUUUAAAUAUUCAAGUGAAAAUUAUAAUUGUAUCCGUGACUUAAAAUGAUCUUAAAAUGACAAUUAUAUUGCAUUUUUUGUAUCAUUUA